GCCACCUUGCAUCAACACUCAUUUAUUCUAGCAGCAGUACAGGCUGGUCACUGAUUGAGUGAGCACAGAAAUGGUGUUUUAGAGCUGCUUGUGAGAUAGCGGUCCUUUGUUGCUUUUUCAAAUUUCAGCUAUCAAUGAUCUUCAACUCACACUUGUGAUGAAUUUACACUGGAUAUUAUCAACUUGAUAGUGUUUUCUGGGAUAGAAUUCUUCACUACUGAGGCUGAGAACUACUUGUGUUGCUCGUCACAUAAGAUACAUGGAGUCACUUGCUGCCUAGCUUACUGCUGGAACUACCUGGGAGUCACAAGGCAGCUUGAUUGAUUCACAGCAGGGUCAAAUCCUUGGCCAUGUUCAUGGACCAUCAAGAGACACAGAAAUAAGAGAUGAACAAGAUGCAGCUACAGUUAUGCCCGAGAUUCGUUCUUCCCUUUGAUUAAGCUGUGGAGCAGAACAGUGCGGGCUGCUUUUCGAAAAGCGACUGUGAAGUUGUUCUGGAAAGUGUAUGUGGCCCUGUUGUGUGCUUCGCAGCUUUAUAAGUAUGAAUUUUCAGUUAGAGGUAACUUAGGUCCGUUGCUGUGCAUUCACAAUGUGUUAGUUUAUUAACUUUUCAUUUUAGAUAAUUAAAAAAUUCUCCUUGAACGUGCUUUUGCGGGUUUUCAAGAACUAAGUAAGAAGCACACAUUAAUAAUGAUGUAUCUGGUGUUUAUUUAUUUAUUAUGGAUUUCAUAGCUUCGUUAAGUUUUGGAAUGGCAACUUCUAUUAUCUCUGGUUAAAGAAGAAUCGCUGCUGACAGAUAUAAGGAGAAUACUUGUAGUACCACAUUUGGACUAAAUAGGCCUGCUUCUGCUUUUUACUAAUUUUUUUAAUUUAGUCAGCAUGAAUAAAUAAAAUCAUGAAUGUGAGAUAGAUCUUUUUAAAACCCGUUAAUGCGAUGUGAAUUUACUUAGUUUGCCUUGAACUCAAGUCUUUCUAUAUAGUGAUAACUGACCCCCUCUGUUUAUUUUUAUACAUUAGUUAUUUUAAAUACUUUUAAGCAGAAGUUGAUGCUUUAAAGUGACAACACUUGAAUGUGAACCAUGUGUAAUUAGGAAAAACUUGAAAUAAUUAUUAAAAAAAAUGAAAAGGGCAAAGAAAUUUUGGGGAAAUAUUACUACUUGAGUAACAUCCAGAAACAACAUACUUAAAAUACUUAACUUUCACUACAACAGUAGUUUGGACUGA
Non-coding RNA from Meleagris gallopavo (turkey), 1224 nucleotides. The record is from RefSeq and is a predicted model, not a curated record. Lineage: Eukaryota; Metazoa; Chordata; Aves; Galliformes; Phasianidae.